UACGAGGGGUGCAAGCGUUGCUCGGAAUUAUUGGGCGUAAAGGGUAGGUAGGUGGUCUCGUUUGUCUGGGGUGAAAUCCUUGAGCUUAACUCAAGAAGUGCCCCAGAAACGGCGAGACUUGAGUACUGGAGAGGGUCGUGGAAUUCCCGGUGUAGCGGUGAAAUGCGUAGAGAUCGGGAGGAACACCAGCGGCGAAGGCGGCGACCUGGACAGUAACUGACACUCAACUACGAAAGCGUGGGGAGCAAACAGG
This 253-nucleotide ribosomal RNA is filed under the name uncultured bacterium. Its description in RNAcentral is "partial 16S ribosomal RNA". It matches the Rfam family "Bacterial small subunit ribosomal RNA", at positions 524 to 776 of the family's 1533-position model. The record is from RNAcentral.